This 1750-nucleotide long non-coding RNA is filed under the name Sorghum bicolor (sorghum). RNAcentral describes it as "long non-coding RNA (SBIC_LNC007771)". The record is from RNAcentral. Lineage: Eukaryota; Viridiplantae; Streptophyta; Magnoliopsida; Poales; Poaceae.
UCCAAUGUAGAGGAAUGUGGGUACUCCAUGAUUAUAUCGUCAAUUGCUGUGACAAUCCACUGGACCUACAGCACCCAGGACCCUCUGGUAAGACAAAAAUUUUGUUCUUACACUAUUUAAAUGAGUAAUGGUACGGUUCAGUUACAACUAAUCUACGGUACAAUUUCUCAGGUUUUUCUUGUACUGGGCAAGUUAGUUGUGUGGUUGCUACUCAUAGUUCCUUAUGCUGUUGUCAAACUCCUCCUGCAAGUUCCUUCUGGCAUUACCAAACUCAUAAGGUCAGUAACCAGAAACUGAAACUGUAACAAAUGUUAUCUUUCUGUCUAUAAGUGGGAAUUAAAUAUGUUAUACUUAUUGACCAGUACUUUGCGUGGCCUGAUCUGUAAUGAUGGAAAUCCUCUAAAGUGUUUUCUGUUGGAACAGAAGAGUGCUCACGAGAUAACAUGGUAUGACCAGUUCAUACUAUACUUUUCUUCCUCUUGAUAUGACAUUUAUUUGUAUGUUGACAUGAUAUUUUUUCAGGUGUAAUGAAUUAUCAACCACUGCGUAGCUUAUCAGGCUGGCCAAAGAUGCGGUAAUUAUUCAACCAUUGAUUUUUUUCUUUUUCCAAAAUGAUGAUCAAUACUGAAUGUCUUCUUCUCUCUCAGCAAUAACAUGUUACUAAUUGGGUUUUGUUUCGUUCUACAGGAUACAAAAGGUUACUGGAGCCAGAGCAACUUAUACAAUAGCAUGCCAUACUGCCUAAAGAGAGGUUACUGGAGAUGGAGCGACUUGUACAGUAGCGUGCCCUUACUGCUCAAAAGUAUAGAGAGAAUGAAGUAGUUAAUCGGCUCGAUAGGACUAUUGUUGAUUCUGUAUUUGGGGCUUUUCAUGGUCCUUUUCUGCUCUGUCGGACAGGGAGAGUACUCGGUGGCACUAGGCAGAAUGAUAAACUAGUGUUUGGCACAUGUAGGAUCUUUGCAAUUCUAUCUCAAAGGUUGACAAUUGACAUGAUAGUAUUAGAUGUGACAGUGGAUAGUUCUUGACAAGAUACAAGUAGCAUGUAGAGCCUUAUUCAAACUUAUGUUGCUCUGUCACCAAUCUGCAGUCUAAAUUGGCAGGAAGGCCUCAAAAAAAAAAAGAACAGACGAUAGAGCACUAGAUUAUUAAUGUUACCAUUAGAAUUUGAAGGGAACAGACAAUAGAGUGGUUUUUGGAUCCUUUCUGCUUGAGGCAAUUGAUGGAUGGACUGAGCUUCCGUCCAUGGUGGAUCUAUAGGGAGAAGAGCUCCAGUAGGUAGGCAAGGCGGAAAAUAAUCACUCUGAGAAAGCAAGUACUCUUGCUUACACCAACUAGACAAGAUUCAGGGAACGAGGCAUUCGCUCCAGUGUGCAUGUGCUGUAUGAUGUGACUUGGUGCAUGAGUUCAGGUCCAGCGACUUGUUAUUCGAAGGUUGAGGCAAUCAAAAAAAAAAUCAGGAAAAAGUACCAACAAAAGUCAGGAAAUAUUCAGAGUACUAACCGUCCCCCAGCACUGGGGUACUCCAACUAAUCCUUUGCGAUUGAUCAGACACUGCUAGUCCUUUGCAAUUUGCAAAUCAAUAAAAAAAAUAAAACCAGAACUGGGAUUCAAUGCAAGGUUGCCUGCUAGCUUGUGUAGGAUGCAUAUACCAUAUAGCACCCACAAACUAAACUAAUUAACCCAAGAGAUCAUAUCGAUGAAGUAAACUAGAGUGGUCUACACUAGCUUAAUCCGAAGAGGGUAGCAAUUC